RNAcentral lists this ribosomal RNA (498 nucleotides) under uncultured bacterium. RNAcentral's name for it is "partial 16S ribosomal RNA". It matches the Rfam family "Bacterial small subunit ribosomal RNA", at positions 29 to 523 of the family's 1533-position model. The record is from RNAcentral.
AUUGAACGCUGGCGGCAUGCUUUACACAUGCAAGUCGAACGGUAACAGGCCGCAAGGUGCUGACGAGUGGCGAACGGGUGAGUAAUGCAUCGGAACGUGCCCAGUCGUGGGGGAUAACGCAGCGAAAGCUGUGCUAAUACCGCAUACGAUCUAUGGAUGAAAGCGGGGGACCGUAAGGCCUCGCGCGAUAGGAGCGGCCGAUGGCAGAUUAGGGAGUUGGUGGGGUAAAGGCCUACCAAGCCGACGAUCUGUAGCUGGUCUGAGAGGACGACCAGCCACACUGGGACUGAGACACGGCCCAGACUCCUACGGGAGGCAGCAGUGGGGAAUUUUGGACAAUGGGCGCAAGCCUGAUCCAGCAAUGCCGCGUGCAGGAAGAAGGCCUUCGGGUUGUAAACUGCUUUUGUACGGAACGAAACGGUCUGGGUUAAUACCCUGGGCUAAUGACGGUACCGUAAGAAUAAGCACCGGCUAACUACGUGCCAGCCGCCGCCGUAA